This 31-nucleotide non-coding RNA is filed under the name Mus musculus (house mouse). The record is from RNAcentral. Lineage: Eukaryota; Metazoa; Chordata; Mammalia; Rodentia; Muridae.
GGACCCAGCAAUGUGGCCUUUGGAAGAGUGU